GGCUUCGUGGUCUAAAGGAUAAGGCAAGCGUUUUCUAAACGUUACGAUGUGGGUUCGAUUCCUACCGGAGCUA
Non-coding RNA from Tritrichomonas musculus, 73 nucleotides. The record is from the annotation of a GenBank genome assembly. NCBI's taxonomy places the organism in Eukaryota, Parabasalia, Tritrichomonadida, Tritrichomonadidae.